RNAcentral lists this unclassified non-coding RNA (1552 nucleotides) under Hevea brasiliensis (rubber tree). Lineage: Eukaryota; Viridiplantae; Streptophyta; Magnoliopsida; Malpighiales; Euphorbiaceae. The record is from RNAcentral.
AAAAAAAACAUUCAAACCGGCGAAGCUUCGCAUUCACAAGUCUCAGACGCGUUCCUCAAUUUCCUUGUAUUCUUUUCUUCGUCAUUUCAUAUCUUCUGUCCUUUGUAUAUAAAACUAUAACAUCUUUUCUUCAAUGUCAUUCCAGAAAACAGCAUCUUCAUCUCUCUCCUCAAUUCCUAAUGUUUUCUCGCACAAUCUUUUAUGUUUUCUUCUUCUUCUUCUUGAUCUUUCCCAGUGAUGCUAUUCGAUCUUUUCACAGUAAAUCUACCAGUGAUUUCAAUGAGAGAAAGAUUGAUCAGUUUGAUUUUUCUCUGCAAUUCUUGGAGGCCCCAGAGUAUCAAAAUGGAAUGGCAUGUGCUACUGUACCUAGUUUGAUAGAUGAUCCUUCGCUUGUUCAUGUAGCUAUGACACUCGAUCCACAUUACUUGAGAGGCACCAUGGCUGCAAUCCAUUCAGUUCUCAAGCAUGCUUCUUGCCCAGAAAACAUUUUCUUUCAUUUUAUUGCCUCAGAUUCAGGGCUGAUUAGUCCAAGCAAACUCACCAAGAUUGUAGAGUCUGCAUUCCCAUCUUUGAAGUUUAAGGUCUACCUCUUCAAGAAGAAUCUGGUCGAUAAUUUAAUCUCAACCUCCAUUCGUCAAGCUCUCGACAACCCAUUGAACUAUGCAAGAAGUUACUUGGCUGAUAUGCUAGAGCCUGGUUCAAGAACUAUUGGAGCACCAGAGUACUGUCACGCAAAAUUCACCAACUACUUCAACAGCGAGUUUUGGUCAGAUCCUGAGCUUUCCAGGGUUUUUGAAGGGAAGAUGGCUUGCUAUUUUAAUACUGGUGUGAUGGUGAUAGACUUGGAGAGGUGGAGGGAAGGUGGUUAUACUAGGGAAAUUGAGAAAUGGAUGAGAAUCCAGAAAGAGAGAAGGAUUUAUGAGUUGGGUUCUCUUCCACCGUUUUUAUUAGUGUUUGCUGGGGAUGUUGAAGCAAUUGAUCAUAGAUGGAAUCAGCAUGGGCUUGGUGGGGAUAAUGUGGUUAGAAGUUGCAGGCCUUUGCAUCCAGGACCUGUGAGUUUGUUGCAUUGGAGUGGUAAAGGAAAGCCAUGGAGGAGGCUCGAUGAAAUGAAGCCUUGCCCAAUUGAUUCUUUAUGGGCACCUUAUGACCUCCAUAAAAACAAGAACCAUCAACAUACCCACCAUAUGAAGAGAAGGCAAAGAUGAUCAAGUUUUGUUUAGUAUAAGAAGAUGAUUCUUUUAUUUAUUUAAACUUGUUCUCAGUUAAUAUUUUAAGACGAGAGGACAACUUUUGUAAAGAGAAGGAGAAAUUCCAGAUACAGAAAUCAAUUGAAUCAAAAUUCUUUGCAGUUUUGAGGUUGUUAUUCACAAAGAUUUUUGUCAUAUGGAAAGGAAUACAUUUCUUUAAUACUUUUAGAGUUGGGAAGUAACCUCAAAUUCAUUCAUGUGUUUUACUUGUCCUAUCAAUUGAGAUUGCCAAUUUGUUUGCUCUCUCGUGUAAUUUAAACGACGAUAGUUUCUUUCAGAGUUUCAAUGUUGUGCCUGGCUCCUGA